UCACUUACCUGGACGGGGUCAAUGGGUGAUCAAGAAGAUCCAUGGCCUAGGUUGGUGAUCUCCAUUGCACUUUGGAGGGGUGCCUGCCUAAAGUCGACCCAAGCGGUCGAGCCUACGUCAUACUUUGUGGCAGUUGGGGGUUGCGUUCGCGCAGCCCCGC
RNAcentral lists this small nuclear RNA (160 nucleotides) under Helianthus annuus (common sunflower). RNAcentral describes it as "U1 spliceosomal RNA". It matches the Rfam family "U1 spliceosomal RNA". From Rfam's summary of the family: U1 is a small nuclear RNA (snRNA) component of the spliceosome (involved in pre-mRNA splicing). Lineage: Eukaryota; Viridiplantae; Streptophyta; Magnoliopsida; Asterales; Asteraceae. The record is from RNAcentral.